UGUCACGGACAAACUUCUAAACAAGGUGUUUGAUGUAAUGCUUAUGUAUGUCCGUGUCUUUUGGCAUGUUCAUGCCUUGUACAGAAUGUAAAGGGGCGGCCGAAGGCUUAAUAGCCCCAUUUUAGUUGGGUUGGUGGCCUCUUUAGGCUUGUAAAUAAAGGUUGUGUCAUGUGGACACGCUCGAGAGCUUUUCGGUCUGUAAUGGACCAUUUUACCCUUUGUUGUGCCACUGUUCAGAGCUUGUAAUAGUCUGUUUGUAAUUUGCUUUGUCUAUGAAGUGUUUUUCGGACAUGUUUGCUUGUGGAUCCCGUUUGUGGCGUUCUCUUUAACCCGUUCUCUCUUUUGUUGG
RNAcentral lists this long non-coding RNA (349 nucleotides) under Musa acuminata (dwarf banana). RNAcentral's name for it is "long non-coding RNA (MACU_LNC011624)". Lineage: Eukaryota; Viridiplantae; Streptophyta; Magnoliopsida; Zingiberales; Musaceae. The record is from RNAcentral.